This 1696-nucleotide long non-coding RNA is filed under the name Marmota monax (woodchuck). Lineage: Eukaryota; Metazoa; Chordata; Mammalia; Rodentia; Sciuridae. The record is from RNAcentral.
GUUCCCGGGUGCACUACACAAGACAGCAGCCACUGGCCAUGUGGAACUAAAGUAAAAAAGCAAACCACGUUCCAACCUCAGUGAUACCUGGGUUUGGCAGCAGAGCUGGACAGUCUGCCAGAGACCAGGGGUCUCAGCUGGGGCUGAUUUUGCUCCCUGCCACAGGGAAUGGCCCAGUAGGGCCAAGACAAAGAGCUCCUGCCAGACCCAGCCCCCAACUGCAGCAAGCCCUGGCCAUGCAAAGGUGGCCUCAGUGGAACGGACUCCUGCCGAGGCUUUGGGUCAGGUGAGCAUGGACCCCCUGAAGAGGUCAGGCAGUGGCAGGAGUUCUACUAUGCUAGCCCUGGACAAGGUAGAGGUGGCCCACGUUUGUGGAUAUUUGAGGCAGGGGCUGUACUCUCUGAACGGAGAUGGUUCAGGUCUGACAUUAGAGUCUGAGCUAGGAUGCUCAUCCCAAUACUGGAUGCUUGGACCUGACUGGCCCUUGGGCUGGGUGCAGCUCCAGUGUUUGUGGGCAAAGGGGUCCCAGGGUUCCCUGGCCCAGUAUUUCAUUCCCUGGCUCAGGAACAUCCCUCCCUCUGCCUUGGCAUUGUUAGAAGCCCCAUACCCUCCUGAGCUCAGGCAAAUCACAGAGCCCCUGGUGGGUGGGCUUCCCCAAGGUUCUUGGCAUCUGCCCCACUCUCCCACAGGACACCGUCAAUAUGCUCUCUCCUGCGGACAAGAAGAGCUCUGCGCUAGUGGGGACGAUGUGUCCUUUCUGCUGCCCUCGUCUGUGGCAAUGGACAGUGGCCCCCUAGCAGGAUGGCAUCCUUUCCUGCAGACCCUGAAGAGGAGGGACCAGGAGCCUUCCAGGCUUGGCCUGCCUCUUGCACAAAGCAGGGAGGUGCAGCAACCCACAUGGCAGCAAGAAGCUCUUCAGCUCCGUUUACCCUGGGUGAGUGCAAGGGCUCCAUGGAGAGGAGGCAUGCGGGCACAGGGGAGCCCUAGAGUGGUGGAGAGCCAGCUGGGCUUGCAGUCUGGGUGCUCCAGGCUUUGAAGCAAUGGCAGGCACUUGGCCCAGACACUUCCAGACUCGGGUUUUAACCACCAUCCCCAUCAGAGGCUCUCAGCAGGCUUGCUAUCCAACCCUGUCCUGAUCACUUCUUGGAAAUAUCAGAGGCCUGACUGUCCAAGCAGUGGACAGAAUGACCACUGGUGCUGCCCAUCAGCUUCCUGGUCCUCCAUGUGGACUGUGCAUACUGACUGUACAGUAUGAGGAGUUGGGGGAAAGAAUCCUUCAUUGGAGCACUGCCUCUUGAAACGAUGAGGUGGGAAAGGCACUUUGUCUCUGUGAUCUUCCUUCCCUAACAUCCCAAGCCCCAGUCAAAACAGGAGGAAAACAUCAGGCAAAUCCCAGCAGAGGGACAGUGUAAAGACACCUGACCAGUGCUCCUAACUGUGAAGACGAGAACAAUGAAGUCUGAGAAAGCAUGGUCAUGAGGAGACAGGACAGAUAAGUGUCACGUGGGAUCUUGGAUGGGAUCCUGGAGAGAAAAGCAUCUCGGGGAACUUGGAUGAAGUAUGAGCUUUAGUGAUGCACCAACACUGGCCCUAAUGGAAGCUGUUAACAGAAGGGAAACUGGGUGUGGGGUGUGUGGGAACUCUCUGAUAUCUCCACAGCUGAUCUGUAAACCUAAAUUCAUUCUAAACUAAAAAU